CCAUAAAACCCACCAAUGGCCUAUUCCCUCCAUCGGGAAUCAGGAACCCCACAGAGGUUUUAACUUAAGGGCAGAUCCACAUACUCAUGCUAUAGAGGACAAUUUGGAGAUCAAGUCCAGACUCAAGAGGAAAGAGUGCUGAUUUGCACAGGCUGAGGCAGCUGUCACAGGACAGGUGAUGGCACUGGUGGCCCCCAGGAUGAAGUCUUAUUUCCUCAGCAUGUGACAGCCCCAACGGACUCCCUCAUUGCGGCUCUGGCUCCCUUGCCUCUAGCCUUAGCUGAGGACAUCUGUGGUUCCUGAAGGGUGACACAAGUUUUGAUUAAAACCCUCUCCUCCUCUCCUCUGCCAGCAGGCCAACGCCUACAACAAAAUAGAGAUGUCACCUCCCUUGACCCCAACCCACUGGCGGCCCUAUGCUCGCAGGACGUCCUGUAUCUGCCCCUAUCCUAGCAUGUACUUCACCCCAUUGUGGUCAUCUACAUGCCAGUCCGUUCUGCUAGUUUGGGAGCCCCUGGAGGGCAGGGGUGCCUCCUUUCUUUCCCCAGGCACCUGGUGUAGGCUUCCAUGAUACGUUACAUGUAAUUCUAUAACGGGACUUGCCAGAAUCUGCCUUAUUGUCCUCUCUGUACAAACCCUCUCUCUGUCUUGAAGGGCAAGGACCACAGACUGCACUCCGCGUGCUUUACACAUUUACGGUUGCUCAACAAAUUAAAGAGAGCCUAGGCCAUCCAAUUGUUCCUUAAACCUUCCCACCCCAUUAGCACCCAUCCUUGGUUCCCAAGGAGCAUUCCUAGAGGGACCCAUGGCUCUCUGCCAUAUUCCUUAAGUCCCAUCCUGUGGGACCAGGGGAUGCUCAACGACUUCUGGCGCAUGGUGCUGUUUGAGUAAACAGGUCUAGAUGUUGCUAUGAAGGUAUGUUUUAGAUGUGAUUAACAUUUCAAUCAGCAGACUCUGAGGAAAGCAGAUUACCCUCGGUAACACGGAUGGGCCUCAUCCAAUCAGUUGAAGGCCCUAAAAAAACCUGCAGUUCCCUGAGGAAGAAGGAAUUCUGCCUCCAGACCGCCUUUGAACUCAAGACUGCACCAUCAACUCUUCCCUGCAUCUCUAGCUGUCGGCUUGAUUUGAAACUUGCCAGCCACCACAGUCAAUUGACAAGCACGUUCUCCAGACUGUAAACCUCAGAAGACACGACCUGCCAGGGACAAAAAUUUAAGAGGUGUGGAAAAAAAACCCAAGUGAGACACUAUUCCAAAGAAUUCAGGUCUCCUGUGUCACAGGGGCCUUGCAAAGGUGAAACAGUGUCGGUAACCUUCAAGGCACACAAAGAGGUACCAGCAAAGUUGCCCUUCUGAUGUUCAGAAUGGUGCAGGUGAAGCUGCAAUCCAUAGCCUGGUGGAUUUUCGGUCCACGCCUGGCAAGAUGACUGAUCCGUCACAGGAUGGCUUUUCAACGGGGUUGAGAUUCACUACGAGCCACCACAUCUUUUUCAACAGAGAGCUUCAACAGCCACAAUACCUUGUCACUUCAGAGACACCUGGAUUUCUGCGGCUAUCUUUGUCCAUAAAUGAAUUAUGGCUAGGGCACAAGGACAAUUUAAUUAGCAGCUGAUCCGGGUUAUUGGGCUAUGUGCCAAACUUCAAACCAACUUCUUAGAGGACUCGCUAUCCUGGGUUCCCGCGGCCCAGAGGAGGAAAAAUCUGCCCCGCCACCCACACACUGAAAAGACGACGAAGCACGGGAAGACUCCCACCUCAAAUCACCCGAGUCCCCCGAGAUUCGCAUUUAUUCUCCAAUCUACAAGGGGAGAAGCACAAUCUGAGCAGGGCUCUUAGGCAGCCUUCAAGGCUAGGUGGCUGCUGACACACCAGAAUCGAGAUCCUCUUUUGUACAGAGAAAAAAAUGCUGAAAGACAAAGGCAGACACAGACAAAGCCCAAGAAAAUGUGUGUGGUUUGCGCCACCCCCCCUCCACCUCCCUGCCCUGCACACUCCAGGCCAGGCCGCUCCCGGUGUUUCAGGGAGGGGAGACCCUGCACUCAGACUGGCUCCUCUUCUGAUGCGACCUGCUUCGACAUGCUGUCGUCAUUCUAGCCAACGAGGAAGGCAGCAAGGCCACCUCAGCACGCGUCUGCUCCCUUCCCCGCUCCCCUGACAAGAGCUGGGCGGUCAGUCUACACACAUGGAAGACAGAGGGCACCAAAAAGCUCUGUGAAUAAAACUUUAAUAAUGUACAGCAGAAAUUGGACAGGCUCAUUCUUAUAUUAAAACAAAAGAUUUCCUAUAUUACAACUUAUUUACAUUUGCAUACUGAAGAGGUAAAGUGUCUAAGUGGCUAUUUUACAGUCCUUUCUAAUAAAAUGUACAAAAACAAACAGAAGUACCGAGAAUGCCGUUCGGGGGCCUUGAUGGCGACGUAAGAACGGGCUUUGACUUGGUCUGUGAAUCCAGAAUCCAGAGGUGUAGGUAGCCCUACGGAUCAGGGUUAGUUAGCCCCACGGGCCAAACACCGCGGCUUUAGGCUUUAGUUUCUCCCCAACUGUCUAACUCCUAACCCUUGGUGUUAAGAGUGAUGGGGACAGGGGUGGGAGCUUCCCAAAAAACUGCUCAGUCUUCCCCGAGGUGUGGUGAGGCCAGGAGGUCCCCCUAGGGAGCGGGCUAGAGGCUUGGGAGUCCCUGGGUCGAGGAGUGUUGGCAGAUCCCAGAGGCUGGUUGUGACCGGGGCACAGGAGUCUAAGUUCCAUUACCACCCACACCCUGCCUGGGUCUGCUGCAGAGCAGGUAGGUGGGGUGAGGUCAGCAGGGCUGGGGAAAGAAGGUCCCCCUAAUGACACCAUUGGUAUUCAAGGGAAAUUAGUCAGUAGCCAGCAAACUGGCCCAAAGGGUGAGGCGAAGAUCUCCUUUAACGCAAGGGAAGAAGCAACACGUCAGGAAAAUAAAUAGGAAGACCGGGAGCAUCUGGGAGACCCGUGUAAGCAGGGAGAGGCGUGCCCCUCCUCCACAAGCUUUGGCAGAGAAUCACUGGGCUGGAGGCAGGCAUGCUCUCAGGCUGCAGACAUCAUGUGCCUCCCCUGGGGGCAGGAAGGGGGCUCAGAAUGAAUGCAGUAAUUUAGGGUCUCACUGCCCACUGCAGGGCUCUUUGGGGGUAUGGAGGGAUCCUGGUCCUUGGUGGUCUUUUCUAAGAGCAAUCAUUCCAGGCUCAAAAGGCUCUCAGAACCAACGGUACAAACUUCUGGUCUUGAAACAGGCACCCACUAACUUGAAUCGGCAACUUCUUCAGUGUUCCAAGAGUAGGACCCAAGCCUGUCUUGCUCACAUACAUAUCCAAGUGCUCAGCACAGUGCCUGACACACAACAGGUACGCAGCAAACAUCUGUUGAGUAAAUGCCUGGAGGAGAAGGCGCGACCGGCUGGACAAUGCACAAAAGGCCAGGGCCCUGAAGCAAAAACCACUCACAGAAUUGAGGGGUGGGGGGCACAGUGCAAGAGAGACUAACCUCCAGGGCAAAGAGGGAGGGACUCUCGCUGCUCGGUGGGAACAGGCUCAGGUGCAAGGACAAACAUUUCCAGUGUGACUGAGCUAUGUGCGCUUGAUUGGAGCAUUUUUUUUUUUUGUGGUUGUUUUGUAGCAAUUUCUUUAAAAACAAAGAGGUAAUCAUCACAUAGAGAUGGUUUUCCUUUUAUAAAAACUUAACAAUAUUAAAAAAAGUUAAAAUUCAGACCCUUCCAAUAAAAUUAAAAAAAAAAGAAAAGAGAAAAGGAAAGGAAA
This is a long non-coding RNA of Neofelis nebulosa (Clouded leopard), 3768 nucleotides long. RefSeq lists it as uncharacterized. The transcript has 3 exons. The record is from RefSeq and is a predicted model, not a curated record. Lineage: Eukaryota; Metazoa; Chordata; Mammalia; Carnivora; Felidae.